This 400-nucleotide ribosomal RNA is filed under the name uncultured bacterium. Its description in RNAcentral is "bacterial SSU rRNA". It matches the Rfam family "Bacterial small subunit ribosomal RNA", at positions 362 to 776 of the family's 1533-position model. The record is from RNAcentral.
UAUUGCGCAAUGGGCGGAAGCCUGACGCAGCGACGCCGCGUGGGGGAUGACGGCCUUCGGGUUGUAAACCUCUUUCGGCAGGGACGAAUUCGGACGUGUACCUGCCGAAGAAGCGCCGGCUAACUACGUGCCAGCAGCCGCGGUAAUACGUAGGGCGCGAGCGUUGUCCGGAAUUAUUGGGCGUAAAGAGCUCGUAGGUGGCCUGUCGCGUCCGCCGUGAAAUCCCAUCGGCUUAACCGUGGGUCUGCGGUGGAUACGGGCUGGCUUGAGGUAGGUAGGGGCAAGCGGAAUUCCUGGUGUAGCGGUGAAAUGCGCAGAUAUCAGGAGGAACACCGGUGGCGAAGGCGGCUUGCUGGGCCUUACCUGACGCUGAGGAGCGAAAGCGUGGGGAGCGAACAGG